Molecule: ribosomal RNA, 256 nt
Filed under: uncultured bacterium
Lineage: Bacteria
Description: partial 16S ribosomal RNA
Rfam family: Bacterial small subunit ribosomal RNA
Source: RNAcentral
UACGAAGGGGGCUAGCGUUGCUCGGAAUCACUGGGCGUAAAGGGUGCGUAGGCGGGUCUUUUAAGUCAGGGGGUGAAAUCCUGGAGCUCAACUCCAGAACUGCCUUUGAUACUGAGGAUCUUGAGUUCGGGAGAGGUGAGUGGAACUGCGAGUGUAGAGGUGAAAUUCGUAGAUAUUCGCAAGAACACCAGUGGCGAAGGCGGCUCACUGGCCCGAUACUGACGCUGAGGAGCGAAAGCGGUGGGGAGCGAACAGG